ACACAAGAGGAAGGGGGACAUUAGCCUCCAGCAGACUCCAUCCCCAUUGCGCAACCCCGACUGGCCCCAGACCCGGCAUGGAAGGUUUGGGUCUGAGGAGUCCCACCCCACAGCCAGGUGACGCCCCAGCCCCUCCGAGCCCUCGCCCGCCCUGUGGAAACAGCACGGCCUGUGGCCAAAGGCUUCCGGCCAUAGGGCACCUGACACCAAGGCACGACACACAGAGGCCAGCCUUGCAGGACCCGCUGCUGCCCUCGCUGUGGGCCUCUGAGCCCUUCUCAGGACCUUCAGGACCUGUAGAAAGGUGGGGGGUGUGGGGGUGGCCUCGCCAGCCUGCCCUGGAGCAAUUCCUUCAGCUUCCAAGAUGCUGCAGGCUCAAAUGGAGCUCUCACAAACACAGCCAGGGCACAGCCCACCCCAGGGUCGGGGUCCGGGGAGCCCCCUCCUCUACACAGUGGGGAAACAGACUCCUGAACUUGCCAAGUCAGCAUCUGGGAUCCUUCCAGUCCACUUCGCCUGAUCACCCAGGAACUUCUCACAAGCUAUGUGUGCCCACAGCAUAUGCUGCAGCACACCAAUAAAAGGAUGCUUGGGAGCCCCCUAUUCAGCCCUGGACCAGGCCUAGGGCCCAGCAGAGCCACUGGCCCAGCCACAGGCAGGAGCAGGAGGGCUCCCUGGAACACCAGCUGGGAAGCAGUGACCAAGUAAACUCCAGAGACCCUUCCGGCUCCCUCACUCUGACAGAGCUAGGACAAGAACGCACCAAUGACUAUGGACCCACGUGUGGGGUCUCCCUCUGGGUGGAGUCGGGUGGGGGGUACCCACUGUCCCAUGUGGAACACGUGGUACCCCCUGCAUCUGAUGCCUUGCAAAGGACAAGCAGCUACCAUCCUCAUUUUCCAGGUGCAGAGGCCACAAGGAACAAAGUGUCCCCACCACCAGCAGGUGAGCCUUCCAGCCCCUCUCCCCACUACCCAGGCCCACGCCACAGGUCAGUCUUUAGGACCCAGUGUUUCUGGCCACCCUGGGCAGAGCUGACAGCCCCAGCCUUGGAGAGAAGCUGGCAGAGACUCAGAAAGAAGACGCCAUUCCCAGUCACACCACUCUCCUGAAGGCUCUCCGCAGCGCAAUCCUCAGCACGGCCACAGGGCCCCUGCUCACCACAGCACCCCCAUGGGACUGUGCUCCCGGGGAUGGCCCUGAGCCAGGGGGAGGACCCAGCCACUGUGUGUGACCAACAGCCCAAGAUGGGCACUAACUUGUUCUCUGCCCUUCGCUGCCACAGAACCAUUCAGGAGGUGGGUGCACUUUCAGCCCACCCGCCUCCCCCUGCUGGUUCCCACAGGGUGAGCGAGGAGCUCCCAGCACUUCCCUCUCCAUGAGCCCACAAUCGGAGGAGGGAUGGGCUGGAACCCAAGUCCACAGCUGCCCCGUCAGCCUCAGCACCUUCGCUGGGUGACCCUUCUCCUGUCUGAGCAGUCCGCCCCCUCAGAUACAACUGGGGUUUCACACCCACUUCCCAGUAAGGGUUAAAGACAGUGAUCAGGCUGGCAGGUGGCAUCCGGAGAAGGGAUGCAGACAGGCCAUCCCACAGGUCGCCAGCAAUGCCCUGCCUGCCCAUAGCCAGCACCUCACCUCAGAACCCACAGGCUACCAUCCCCCACAUCGGGCCACCUGUAGGCACAGACAGGUGGCCACACACCCACGGCCCCAGACCAAGGGGCUGCC
RNAcentral lists this long non-coding RNA (1728 nucleotides) under Homo sapiens (human). RNAcentral's name for it is "HSALNT0379094". Lineage: Eukaryota; Metazoa; Chordata; Mammalia; Primates; Hominidae. The record is from RNAcentral.